AUGUGUAGUAAGGUCGUCACUAGUGAGAAGGGGUCAUCACAACAUAGGUCGUGCAGAGCCAAACAUCAUAUUUUGCAUGUUGACAGUCGUAACCCACAACAGCUGCCAACCAAAUGCCAGGUAUCAAACUAUUCAGUGGUGCAAUACAUGCUACUAAACUAUGAGGAGCACAUUGUUUUAUGGAGCGGCGAUUUUGCACCCAGGCUCAUCUACACACCCCAUGCGUCAGUGGUGCAAUACAUGCUACUAAACUAUGAGGAGCACAUUGUUUUAUGGAGCGGUGAUUUUGCACCCAGGCUCAUCUACACACCCCAUGCAUUAACAAUAAAUUGA
Molecule: ribosomal RNA, 333 nt
Filed under: Triticum aestivum (bread wheat)
Lineage: Eukaryota; Viridiplantae; Streptophyta; Magnoliopsida; Poales; Poaceae
Description: partial small subunit ribosomal RNA
Source: RNAcentral